RNAcentral lists this ribosomal RNA (486 nucleotides) under uncultured bacterium. RNAcentral's name for it is "partial 16S ribosomal RNA". It matches the Rfam family "Bacterial small subunit ribosomal RNA", at positions 30 to 507 of the family's 1533-position model. The record is from RNAcentral.
AUUGAACGCUGGCGGCAUGCCUUACACAUGCAAGUCGAACGGCAGCACGGGUGCUUGCACCUGGUGGCGAGUGGCGAACGGGUGAGUAAUACAUCGGAACAUGUCCUGUAGUGGGGGAUAGCCCGGCGAAAGCCGGAUUAAUACCGCAUACGAACUACGGAUGACAGCGGGGGACCUUCGGGCCUCGCGCUAUAGGGUUGGCCGAUGGCUGAUUAGCUAGUUGGUGGGGUAAAGGCCUACCAAGGCGACGAUCAGUAGCUGGUCUGAGAGGACGACCAGCCACACUGGGACUGAGACACGGCCCAGACUCCUACGGGAGGCAGCAGUGGGGAAUUUUGGACAAUGGGCGAAAGCCUGAUCCAGCAAUGCCGCGUGUGUGAAGAAGGCCUUCGGGUUGUAAAGCACUUUUGUCCGGAAAGAAAUCCUUGGCCCUAAUACGGUCGGGGGAUGACGGUACCGGAAGAAUAAGCACCGGCUAACUACGUG